CUACUCUGUAUUUUUUCCCUAUUCUAUAUUCUUCCUCAGCUCUUUAAUCCUUCAUUUAUACUAUUUCUAUUUGGACCUCCCUAUUUUUUGUGUGUGUUGGAUCUCUUCAGAGUGCCGGGAUGAGAAAUUUGCUUGUACAAGACUCUACUCUGUCCAUCGACCAGUCAAGCAAUGCGUUCAUCAGGUCUGCUUCACCAGGUAAAGGAACCCAGAAUGCCCAGACAGCAGCUUCCAUGGUAGUCUUUUUGUGUCAGUAACUAUUUAAUAAGUACUCACUAAGGAAUUGCAUCAUUUGAUAGGGCAGGUGUUUUUAGCAUAACUCUUCUAGCUAUUCCUGAAGGUGCUGGCUGGACCUCUGGGUUGAGGUAUACAAGGAUAGGCCGACUAAUAGAUAUCAGAAGAUAAGUGAAGGUGAAAGCGGAAGAAAAAGAGGGUCAUAAAGGAAACACUGGCAUGUUGGAUUUAUUACCUGAUUGAAAGAUGCUAAAGCAAAAGACUUAGAUAUGAAGGUAGAAAAUGGAAAGGAGCAGAGGACUUGACUCUAGGUGGAAAGUGUCAGUAGGAAGAGGAAUUAGCCUGUUGCAGUGGUGCCUGUAAUCACAGCUACUGGGGAGGCUGGAUCAGGAUCAUUCCAAGUUCAGGUCUGGCAACUUAGCCAGACCCUGUCUCAAAGUAAAAAUUAAAAAGAAGUGGGGAUGUAGCUCAGUGUUGGAGUACCCCUGGAUUCAAUUCCCAGUACGGGAAAGAAAAGUAAAGUAGGAAGGAAAGAAAGAAAAUUAAUAUCAUUCCAUUACCUGCAUUCUUCUGAGGGGUUAAAAAAAAAGUAGUCAUCUGAAAUACCUAAGGAAAUGUAGAUGGGGGAGGCUAGACAGGGGAAAGUGGGAACUACAGAGUUGAACAGCAGCCUAGGCCAAAGUUAGUUCUUCCCCUCAAGACUUUUUUCUAUCUCUUUCCUUGACCAUGAUACUGGAUGUUGCAGUUUACGACGUAUGUACAUCAUCAACAAUGAGAUCUGCUCCCGUCUUGUUUGUAAGGAACAUGAAGUUAUGAAAGGUAAGUUGACAUCUGGAUGUUUAAUGGGGACGAAUGAUUAUGAGAGAGGUAAGUAGGAUCAUGAUCCAAGAUCCAAGGAUUGGUUUGGAGGAGGACUCUGGCCCUAGGCUUUAGCUUUUAUCAGCCCCUAAUAGAAGUUUCCCCAAAUAAACAAUCUAAGUAAAGCAGUGUGCUUAAUACAAAUACAGACCUACAAAAGUACACCUAGAUCCUUUCCCAUCUAAAUGGCAGUCCCCCCAGUUUCUCUUAUAUAGACAGUUUUUUAAAGCUCUGUUUUAAAGGUCAACCACUGGGGUUCUAGGGAAAGGGCCAAUUCAGCAAUCACAGAUAAUAUGCUCAUCUAGUCAAUGGCCAAGUUCAUAGCUCUUUAAGGAAAACACACAUACACACAUACACACACACUAGUGUGGAGACAGUAAGGUUUGGAUAGGGUAUAUAAAACAGAUAGCAUGAUGGUGCACAUCUGUGAUUCCAGCAGCUGGGGAGGCUGAGGCAGGAGGAUCGAAAGUUCAAAGCCAGUCUCAGCAACUUAGUGAAAGCCUGUCUCAAAAAAUAUAAAGGACUGGAAGUGGUGGCACUCGCCUGUAAUCCCAGCAUCUUGGAAGGCUGAGACAGGAGAAUUAUGAGUUCAAAGCCAGCUUCAACAAAAAGCAAGGUGCUAAGCAACUCAGACAUUGUCUCUAAAUAAAAUACAAAAUAGGACUGGUGAUGUGGCUCAGUGGUCAAGUGCUCCUGAGUUCAAAUGCCCCUGAGUUCAAUCCCUGGUACCAAAAAAUAUAAAUAAAUAAAUAAAGGACUGGAGGUGUGGUUCAGUGGUUAAGCAUCACUGUGUCCAAUCCCUAGUACCCCCCAGAAAAAGGAAGAUUAAGAAAUUGGCUAUCUUAUAAACAGUUCACCAAUUCCAGGAACCAUUUACAUUGCUUAUAGAGAAAUUUAAGAAGUAGAGAAGGCAGAAAGAUGUUAUAAAAACAAUUUUACAAGGGUCCUAAAUGUGUGGUUUUAGACCAUGCUUGGUGAGAGUAAACAUACUUCUCACCUUCCCCAUGGACAGCCCCAAAUGAUGGCUGUGGUUGGUGACAACACCACAGACACAGCACUUCUGACUCAGCAGCCUGCUCUGCACUGAGUUCUUGAGUAAGAGCUGUAGUUAACUUUGCUGAAGGAAAUUUGCUGCUUGCCCCCAUUGGCUUUGUGCAAGCCACCUGCAAGGGAAGCACCUUGAGAUUGAGGAUGAGUAUUUGGGACUCUAGGCACUUUCAAGUAUCUCAGGGGAGUAACUAAAGUUAGCUAUGUGCACAUAGUAAACACCUAAAAGUGGAAUGAAUGAUUGGACCUCAUUUUCCUACUUACUCGAUCCAUGACUAGAAUUGGGAGCUGGGCAUAUAAAAGAAACUAACAUUUACUGGGGUGCUGGGUACUUUGCAUACCUUAUUUCAUUUUAACACAAGCUGUUAAGAUAGGUAUUUUAAUGCUCAUUUUACAAAAAGAAUACUGAGGUUCAUAAGUUAAGGAACUUUCUAGUAAGUGAUAAAUAACCAGUAAGUGGCAGAGGCUUCAACCCACCAGGUCUUUUUCUCUUCAACAUUUUUUACUACAUCUCAUUGCACAGCCUUUUCUUUCCCUUAAAACAAGAAGCCUUGUUAUCUUCCAGAAUUCUCCUCUCACUCUCUGCUUCUCCUCUAGAUGAACUUUGCCGUCAGAUGGCAGGUCUGCCCCCAAGGCGACUCCGCCGCUCCAACUACUUCCGACUUCCUCCCUGUGAAGAUGUGAAUUUGCAGAGACUCGAUGGUCUGUGAUCAUCAAGGAAGAAGAAAGAAGAAAGAAUGUGUGGGUGAGAGGAAGGGGGAAUUUCGUCUUCUACACCACUGUCAGCUAACCCAUAGACAUGAGAAUUUCUUAAACCUGUCCCUUUGCAAUAUCCAGCUUUUGCCCCUACUCCCUAAUUUUUGACCAAGACUGAUAACAUUUAUCUCAUUUUUCAGUACUUAAAACACAAUACCUGUAUUAUUGCAGUUUUGUUGCUUCCCAAUAUCAUAGGCAUAGUAGAUAAACAUGACUUAUAUUCAAACAUUCUAUAUACAAUUCUGGAAAGAAUAAACUUUAGGUUAAUGAUCUAUUUGGAAGGACUGGGGAUGUAGCUCAGUGGCAGAGCUUGCUUAGCAUGCGCAAGGUCUCGAGUUUGAUUCCCAGAACUGCAAAAAAUAAAAUAAAUAGUAAUAAUAAUCUCUGUCUGUGUGUGCAUGUGUAUUUGUGUGUGUGCGUGUGUGUGUAAUGCUGGCUAUCGAACCCAGGGCCUCUCAAAUACUGGGCAAGUGCUUUACCAUUAAGCUCCAGGCCCAGCCUGUAUGUUAAUAAUCUCAAUUAUUAGAUCUGUUGGAAAUAGACCUUAGGGUAGAAGAAGCCAUCUUUGUCUACUUUGGCUAACCAUAGAACUUCAUUUAUUUUCCUUCCAAGACCUCAUCAUCAUUUACAUAUUCCUCUUUACUCAUUUUUACUAUUUUGCCUGGAUUGUCCUAAUUUUGCCUGUCAGGUCUUCUUGGUGAAAAAGAUCAUGGUAAUUUUUGUAGUUCUGAAAGUCCUAGAAUUUUGUAGACUCAAGAUUCUCCCAACAGAACCAAAAAUCAUAUAUAUAAUUCUAAUAGCAAUACAGAAAGACCCAAAAUGUUAUCUUCUGCUAAGUGCAGAGUCUGGGGUUAAAAGAGAAGAUUGUGCCAGUUACAGAACUUGGACUUAUAAUUCUGUAUUCAAUUUUUUCAUCCAGUUGUUCAGUCAAGGAGUAGUGUUGAAAAAUGUGUUUCCUUUACUUAUUCAUUUGUGAUAGUACUGGGGUUAGCUUGCUUACACAAAGCAAACUAGACAACUUAAUGUGAAACCAUACCAUUGACCUGAGUUUCCUUGAGUUGUGCUACUUCUUUCAUCCUUAACACCAAGUGCAAAAAUAGAGCUUAUUGUGCAAAAGGAAAUUCUAGAAUAUCCUGGCUUCGAGCCUAAGAAGAACAUUCAUAUCUGAAUUUUUUUGUGUGCUAGUUAUUGAACCAGGAAUGCUUUGCCAUUUAGCUAUAUACCCAACUCUUCAUUUUGAGACAAGGUCUUUGUAAGUGGAUGAGGACCUUGCUUAGUUGCUGAAGCUGGUCUCAAACUUGCUAUCCUCCUGCCUCAGCCUCCCAAAGUCACGGGGAUUACAGGCUUGUGCCAUUGCACUGGGGUCAGAUAUAAAUUUUAAUAGGCAGAAAGCUUAACCUAAAGUUUAAAAUGAAAGAAACACAAUUUCUUGUCCUGGCCUUAGGAGUAGGAUGAAUCUUUAGAUAAGUCAUUUUCCUUCAUUAGGUCCUGGUCUAAUUUCCUCACUUUAAAAUGAGAAGGCUGAAUUUCUGUUAGUUCUUAGGCAUUAGUUCUAUGAUUUUCUGACAUAACUGCAUUAUUUAUAUUUUUCAAAGUCUAGAUGCAGUCUAAUUUACAAGCAUGUCUGCUUUAUCCUAAAUAUUGACAGUAGUACACAAUGCAAUACAAUCAAAUCCUACCCUCCUACCCCUGUGCUAGAGAUUAAACCCAUGGCCCCAAGCAUGUUGUUAGACAAGUGCUCUACCACUGAGCUAUACCUCCAGGCUCCUCAAAUUCCAUUCUAAUAAGUGACAAACUAUAUAUUGUGAACCCUUGGGUCUGAAUAACUAAAUAACUUUCUAGAAAAAUCAAUGGAAUUCAAAUAGGAAUUAGGGGAGAAGUUGUUACAUAUGACACUAGGGGUUGGAUUCCCUUCAUAGUGUCAAGAAAACUAGCUAAAUGAGGGUUGGAUUCUUGCUGUUAAGAAACAAUUUAGUUUAAUGGGAUUUGUACACCUUAUCGAAGAGAAGUGUAAGAAAACCUCAAGGUAUGCAAUCUCUAUUCCACCAUAGUCUCUAGAAUUAAAGUGUCCUUGUCCAGACAGACAUAGUAAGUGUAUAUUGUAGUCACUACAAAGAAACCUCCUGGGCAUAGAGUUUAUAAAAAUCAUCUUAAGAAUCUCUUCAUAGGGCUAGGGUUGUAGCUCAGUGGUAGUCCUUACCUAACAUUAAUGGAAGCCCUGGAUUCAAUCCUUAGCACCACAAUCAAUUAAUCAAACAAACCCAAAAUCUCUUCAUGAGACUGCAAAUUCAAAAUAAUGAUAAGGAGAUGGAAAGGUUAGUUAUCCCAUUUGAUCAAUGCUUAUUGUAUAUAUGUACUGAAAUAUCACACGUACCUCAUAAAUAUGUACAAUGAUUAUGUGUUAAUAAAAAUGUUUAAAUGCUCAAGGAAAUGGAAAUGUUAACUACUCUGAUAUGACUUUUGCAUACUGUAUACAUGUAUAAAAAAUUCACAUUGUACCUUAUAAAGUUGUACAAUUAAAAUAAUAGUUAAUGCUAAGAAUACUAAUAUUUAGAUUCGAAGACAUUCAAAAGUUCAGUUUAUGUUUGGGAUCUGGGAAAAUACCAAAAAGAAAAGAAUCUCUUGGGCUGGGGAUGUGGCUCAAGCGGUAGCGCGCUCGCCUGGCAUGCGUGCGGCCCGGGUUCGAUACUCAGCACCACAUAGCAACAAAGAUGUUGUGUCCGCCGAGAACUAAAAAUAAAUAAAUUAAAAAAAAAAAAAGAAAAGAAUCUCUUCAUGUACUUGACAUUCCUACUUCAUGAUAAAUGAUAGGUGACAUUCCCACCAGUGAGCACCUCAAUCCCAGUAUUUGUCUAUUGCAAAUUAAAUCUUUUACAAUAAAUUUUAUCCAAUCUUUUUUCCCUCAGCAUAAAGUGGUCUUUGGCUUGGUUAUUGUUUUUCUCUUUAAUGUUCACAAAAAAUACUUGAAUUUGUCCACUUUUAUCCCACUUUGAAAACUGAGUACCAAAAUUAGUCAACUUUCUUUAUUCUGCUCUUCUCUGUUUUAUCUUUUACUCCAUAACUUUACCAAUGGUUCUCCAAAAAUCCAAAUUUAUUUAGUCUCCUCCAGAUGUGUCCCCGUUUUGCUUUUCUGCUCUUAUCAGGCCCAACAAUCUUGGUAGUUGAAGUUUCAUUACUUACUCUCAUUUCUCUUUUGUGUAAAUUCCGAAGUUUUGCCAUUCCUUGUUCUAAUGUUCUCUACCCACCUUUUUUUGUGGUGCUGGGGAUUGAACCCAGGGCCUUACACAUGCUAGCCAAAUGCUCUACCACUGAACUAUAUCCCCCAGCCCUGGAAUUUAUGUCUUAAUGAAAAACAACUAUGUAAACCAAAUUAAUGGAUCUUUAAUAUUAGAAUUAAACAAUUUAGUAAAACAUCCAUUAGAGUUUGGAUGCUUUCUUGGUAUCCUGAAUAGAUAGCAACCUCAUCUGUCUGCCCAGAAGGUUCAUCUUUAACUUUCUCUUCCCAAAUUGAGUUGAUUCACAGUGGACACAGGGUUGCACACCUGUAAUCCCAGCUAUGUAGGAAACUGAGACAGGAGGAUCAUGAGCUCCAGACGAGCCCAGUAACUAAGUGAACCUUGUCUCAAAAUAAAAAUAAAAAGGGUUGGGGAUGUAGCUUAGUGAUAGAGUGCUUGUCUAACAUGACAACAUGGUGUUGGUUUGAUCCCCAACAACAAGAAUCAAUCAAUCAAUCAAUAAAAUAAAAUUGAGUUGAUUCUACUCUGAGUCUAAUUUUUCCCAUAUUUCAUGCUUCUUAGUCAAGAAAAUUAUCCUUUCUCUUCAAAUUAACAAAUUCUGGAAAUUCAAGUGUGAACUCUACUCACUAGAGUUUUCUAUGCACACUUUCUCUUAGUAUUCUUUUGACUCACAAGCAGAUGGUGCAAACCCCAGCUGGUUUCCCCACCUCUAGAUUUUAUUUUGAUGACAUCAAGCAGUAUAUGUUGCUAGCCACAAGCUCCUCCCUACUUUAGGGUGUUUGUGGCAAAAGAUGUAUGCUAAACCAAAUACUGUACCCCUGGUUGGAAGGUGCAAGCAACUUGUGAACUCUAAGUUUCCUCUUCCUUUUGUACUGAAGUAACUGUAACACAGUGGACAGAUCAGAAGAUGGAGAGCAACAGACCAAAGAAUCUUGAGAGCACGAUGAUAGGUUGGCACCAGGGGAAGAGAACCAGGAAAUGAGUUAGUGGGAAUUUUCAAAUCUGCAAAUAUAGGGUGAAAUGGAAAGAUAUCAGGAGCACAGCAGAAGAGAGGCAGGACCACCCUCAUGGUUUUGUGAACUCAAAGAAGGUACAACACUUCAAUAAAAUUGACAUCCUGGAGCCAGGUGCAGUGGUGCACGCCUGAAAUCCCAGCAACUUGGGAGGCUAAGGCAGGAGGAUUGAAAGUUCAAGACCAGCCUCAGCAAUUUAGUGAGGCCCUAAGCAACUCAGGGACACUCUCUCAAAAUUCUAAAAAAUAAAAAAAUAAAAAAAAAGGAGGGGGAAGCUGGGGAAUUUACUUUAGUGGAAAAGUCCCUCUGGGUUUAAUCCCCAGUACAAAAAACAAAAAAAACAGUUGACGUCUUGGCAUCUUUAAGCAUUUUCACUAACCAAACAUCAGGGAAAGUGACAUGUUUAGUUUCUCUGGUGGAGAGAGGAACAGGUGGCCACAGUUUUCAGAGUUUUUUUUUUUUUUUUUUUAAACCAGUCAAGUAGAGCCAUAAGUAGCAGUCAGACAACCACUUCUGGGCAGAACCCAAGGCGGAAAAAGCAAAUGUUUAUAUAAAUAGACGUGCAGAGCCCAUAGUUUCCUGUUAACAAAUUGAGCUUUGCUUUACCUCAAACCCUCACGUUUUAUUAAGUAGCUGAUAAUGGUUUUGUGUUUUUUUCACCUUGUAUAAUCACUUUAAGGUUCUAGUUUGUUUCCUAACCUGUAGAUCUUACAGUUUUUUUUUUUCUUCUGUAUUUCUGGUAUUUUUCUCUUUCCUCUCCCUUUUCCCUUCUGUGUGAUUAUCUGCCAUACAUAUCUACUACAUAAUUAAAUGUAUGCAGCAAUCCAUAGUGACUGAAUUCAGAAUGAUCUUGUAAAUUUAUGUGAGAUUCACCUCUUCCCCCAUACCCCCUUAAAAAGUAAUGAUUGAGUUGGCUCUGUGGUACAUGACUGUAAUUACUUCUAACAACUGGAGAGGCUGAGGCAAAAGAAUCUCAAAUUUGAGGCCAGAGUAGGCAACACAGUGAGACUCUCAGCAACUUAACAAGACUGUCUCAAAAUAAAAAUAAAUAAAUAAAAAGGGCUGAGGCUAUACCUCAGUGGGUGAACAUCCCUGGUUGAAUCCCAAGUGCAGAGAGAGAGAAAAAAAAAUUAUCAAAUUACAAAUGGCCUUUGCUAGAAGGUCAUUUGAAAUUUGAUAAAGUCAACUGUGCUCUUUUAUGUUGCCACAGAAUGAGUCUGAGAUAGAAAGACCUGGAAUAAUGUAGUAAUUCAUAAUUAAAGUCCAAAUGCUCAUAAGAAUGACAAUAUAUGCUGAGACAGGGAAAGAAUAUUUUCUCUCAUCAUGUAGAAACUAAGCAAUUAUAUCCAUGAUGAUUAUGAUGUCUAGAAUCCAAAUCAAUGUGGUUCUAGGUAUCAUCAACAACAAUAAAAAACAAAAGAGAAGCAGCAGCAGCAGCCAGGCACGGUGGCGCAAGCCUGUAAUCCCAGCAGCUCCCGAGGCUAAAACAGGAAGAUUGAGAGUUCAAAGACAGCCUCAGCAAUGGCAAGACGCUAAGCAACUCAGUGAGACCCUACAUAAAAUACAAAAUAGGGCUGGGGAUGUGGCUCAGUGGUCGAGUGUCCUUGAGUUCAAUCCCUGGUACCAUCCCCCACAAAAAAAAAAAAAAAGAAAGAAAGAAAAAAAAACUGCAGUUGUAUCACCCUGUUCAAUCCAAUCUAACUUUUUUUUUUUUUUGGUGAGGAUAAAAUCAAGGGCCUCAUGCAUGCCAGGCAAGCGGUCUACCACUAAGCCAAAUCCUUAGUUUGUCCUGUUCAAUUCAAUACAAAAUAAUUGGUAUGUGUUUCAGUGCCAAUCCAAACUUGGCAUUCACUAGUUAUGUGAUUUUAAACAAAUAAUUUCUCAACUGUAAAUUGUUGGCAAUUUACCUGCCUUACAGAUGGUUCUGAGAGUUAACAAGAUCAUAUAUUCACAAGAUCAUAUAUUCAAAAUGUUUAGCACCUGUAAGACUAUUAAGUAUAUAAUAAACUAUGU
This 9157-nucleotide long non-coding RNA is filed under the name Marmota monax (woodchuck). Lineage: Eukaryota; Metazoa; Chordata; Mammalia; Rodentia; Sciuridae. The record is from RNAcentral.